GCAAUGUGUGGAGACAUUUUGGGUUGUCA
Molecule: non-coding RNA, 29 nt
Filed under: Homo sapiens (human)
Lineage: Eukaryota; Metazoa; Chordata; Mammalia; Primates; Hominidae
Source: RNAcentral